This 509-nucleotide ribosomal RNA is filed under the name Stenobiella sp. EH-2004. RNAcentral describes it as "partial 16S ribosomal RNA". It matches the Rfam family "Bacterial large subunit ribosomal RNA", at positions 1831 to 2597 of the family's 2925-position model. The record is from RNAcentral. Lineage: Eukaryota; Metazoa; Arthropoda; Insecta; Neuroptera; Berothidae.
UUUUUGAAUAUAAUAAAAAGUCUGACCUGCCCACUGAAAUAAUUUUGAAGGGCCGCGGUAUUUUGACUGUGCAAAGGUAGCAUAAUCAUUUGUCUUUUAAUUGAAGGCUGGAAUGAAUGGUUAAAUGAAGUAUUAACUGUCUCAUUUUAAAAAGUAUAAAAAUUUAAUUUUUUAGUUAAAAAGCUAAAAUUUAUUUAGAGGACGAGAAGACCCUAUAAAUCUUUAUUUAUUUUAUUAAAUUAAAUUUUAGAUAAAAAUUAUUUAUUAUAAUAAAAUAAAUUUUAUUGGGGUGAUAGGAAAAUUUAAUAAACUUUUUUUAUUUUAUCUAUUGAUUUAUAAAUAUUUGGUCCAUUAUUAAUGAUUAUAAGAUUAAGAUACUUUAGGGAUAACAGCGUAAUUUUUUUAGAGAGUUCUUAUCGAUAAAAAAGAUUGCGACCUCGAUGUUGAAUUAAAGAUUAAUUUUAAAUGCAGAAGUUUAAUAAUUAGGUCUGUUCGACCUUUAAAUCUUU